This 282-nucleotide ribosomal RNA is filed under the name uncultured prokaryote. RNAcentral describes it as "partial 16S ribosomal RNA". It matches the Rfam family "Bacterial small subunit ribosomal RNA", at positions 524 to 803 of the family's 1533-position model. The record is from RNAcentral.
CACGGGGGUUGCGAGCGUCGUCCGGAAUUACUAGGCGUAAAGGGCAGGCAGGCGGAUCCAUAAGUUUAUCGUUUAAGGCGUCGGCUUAACCGGCGUAGGGCGGUAGAUACUGUGGAUCUGGAAUGCGGUUGGGGAAGACAGAAUUCCUAGUGUAGCGGUGGAAUGCGCAGAGAUCAGGAGGAAUACCGAAGGCGAAGGCAGUCUUCCAAGCCGUUAUUGACGCUCAACUGCGAAGGUGUGGGUAUCAAACAGGAUUAGAUACCCGGGUAGUCCCUGAGCGGG